This 1092-nucleotide long non-coding RNA is filed under the name Marmota monax (woodchuck). Lineage: Eukaryota; Metazoa; Chordata; Mammalia; Rodentia; Sciuridae. The record is from RNAcentral.
CUAGGUCUACAUCAUCUGCACCUGUCCCUUCUCCUGUGGAUGGACCCCUAGGCGGCAACGACAAAGGAUGCUGACCUGGAUGUUCUUGCACAUGGGUCCCUGGUUACAGAUGCUGGAAUUUCUCUAUGGUGCAGCAGCAGGAGUCGACUGUUGGGCCGAGGGUCAAAGGGUCUCUGUCUAAGUGACCUUCAAGAUGGCUAUUUCAACAUCACACCUGGACCCCCAACGUGGGAGAGCUCCGACUCCCACAUUCUCGCCAACAUCACUGGCGUUCCCAGGCGUUUCCUGGUCUCCUGCUGGGGUUCCACGGUGUUCCUCAUCUGCCUGUCCUCGGGGACCAGUGGGCAAGAGUGUCUUUCCAGGCAGAAUUAUUACGCAUAUUGCUGGAAAAUGCACGUUCAGAUUCUUUUGCUCAUUUUAUAUUGGUUAUUUGCUUUUUUUUUUCUUUUAACUUACCAACAUUCUUGAUCCAUUUUCUAUUUUAGUUUACUGAAAAAUAUAUGAGUUCCAAACACCUUCUCCAGACCCAUCAAUUUUUUAGUGGACAAGGUUCCAUCAGAUUUAUGGAUUCCAGCCUAUAAUUUAUGCCUUAUUUAAGAAAUCCUUCCCUACUCUGAGGUCUAUUCUACUUUUCCUUCUAAAGAUUCAAAGUCUUCCUUUACAUAUUUAUGUCUAUUCUACUUUUUCUUCUAAAGAUUCAAAGUGUUCCUUUACAUAUUUGUGUCUUAAUUCUAUCUGGAAUAUAUGUUUUGUGUGUUUAUAGAGACCCAGUUUUCUAAACGAAUUAGUGAGUACCCGGAGCUACUUAGUCAUUGAAGAAUUCUUUUUUACCCAUCUGCAGUGCCGCCAGAUGUUCCGUCUCCCGACACUUGAGGGUACUUUCUGACUAUCCAUUCUGUUUUAUUGGUCUGUUUGUCCAUCCUAAGGCCCAGACCUAACUCUUUAAGGAUUCUGCCUUUGUGACAGGUACAGUUUCCUACCACAGAGUGUCCUCAUUCUUUGUUCUUCUACUUUAAAGGCACGUUUAAAGUGCCUUUAAAGUUCCAUUUAAUGUUAAAAUAAGUUCCAUUUAAAUGUUAAAAUAAGCUUGUC